UACGUAGGGUGCAAGCGUUAAUCGGAAUUACUGGGCGUAAAGCGUGCGCAGGCGGUUCGUUGUGUCGGCGGUGAAAGCCCCGGGCUUAACCUGGGAAUGGCCGUCGAAACUGGCGAACUGGAGUGUGGCAGAGGGGGGUGGAAUUCCGCGUGUAGCAGUGAAAUGCGUAGAUAUCGAGAGGAACACCUGCGGCGAAGGCGGGUUGCUGGGCUGACACUGACGCUGAUGCGCGAAAGCCAGGGGAGCGAACGGG
This 253-nucleotide ribosomal RNA is filed under the name uncultured bacterium. Its description in RNAcentral is "partial 16S ribosomal RNA". It matches the Rfam family "Bacterial small subunit ribosomal RNA", at positions 524 to 776 of the family's 1533-position model. The record is from RNAcentral.